AACGAACGCUGGCGGCAUGCCUAACACAUGCAAGUCGAACGAAGGCUUCGGCCUUAGUGGCACACGGGUGCGUAACGCGUGGGAAUCUGCCCCUUGGUUCGGGAUAACAGUUGGAAACAACUGCUAAUACCGGAUGAUAUCGCGAGAUCAAAGAUUUAUCGCCAGGGGAUGAGCCCGCGUCGGAUUAGCUAGUUGGUGGGGUAAAGGCCUACCAAGGCGACGAUCCGUAGCUGGUCUGAGAGGAUGAUCAGCCACACUGGGACUGAGACACGGCCCAGAGUCCUACGGGAGGCAGCAGUGGGGAUAUUGGACAAUGGGCGAAAGCCUGAUCCAGCAAUGCCGCGUGAGUGAUGAAGGCCUUAGGGUUGUAAAGCUCUUUUACCCGGGAUGAUAAUGACAGUACCGGGAGAAUAAGCCCCGGCUAACUCCGUGCCAGCAGCCGCCGUAA
Molecule: ribosomal RNA, 448 nt
Filed under: uncultured bacterium
Lineage: Bacteria
Description: partial 16S ribosomal RNA
Rfam family: Bacterial small subunit ribosomal RNA
Source: RNAcentral